RNAcentral lists this transfer RNA (72 nucleotides) under Felis catus (domestic cat). It matches the Rfam family "tRNA". From Rfam's summary of the family: Transfer RNA (tRNA) molecules are approximately 80 nucleotides in length. Their secondary structure includes four short double-helical elements and three loops (D, anti-codon, and T loops). Lineage: Eukaryota; Metazoa; Chordata; Mammalia; Carnivora; Felidae. The record is from Rfam by way of RNAcentral.
ACCUGGCUGGCUCUUUCGGCGGAGCAUGUGACUCUUAAUCUCAGGUUGUGAGUUCAAGCCCCAUGUUGGGUG